Molecule: ribosomal RNA, 472 nt
Filed under: Veillonella parvula
Lineage: Bacteria; Bacillati; Bacillota; Negativicutes; Veillonellales; Veillonellaceae
Description: bacterial SSU rRNA
Rfam family: Bacterial small subunit ribosomal RNA
Source: RNAcentral
GACGAACGCUGGCGGCGUGCUUAACACAUGCAAGUCGAACGAAGAGCGAUGGAAGCUUGCUUCUAUCAAUCUUAGUGGCGAACGGGUGAGUAACGCGUAAUCAACCUGCCCUUCAGAGGGGGACAACAGUUGGAAACGACUGCUAAUACCGCAUACGAUCUGACCUCGGCAUCGAGGAUAGAUGAAAGGUGGCCUCUACAUGUAAGCUAUCACUGAAGGAGGGGAUUGCGACUGAUUAGCUAGUUGGAGGGGUAACGGCCCACCAAGGCGAUGAUCAGUAGCCGGUCUGAGAGGAUGAACGGCCACAUUGGGACUGAGACACGGCCCAGACUCCUACGGGAGGCAGCAGUGGGGAAUCUUCCGCAAUGGACGAAAGUCUGACGGAGCAACGCCGCGUGAGUGAUGACGGCCUUCGGGUUGUAAAGCUCUGUUAAUCGGGACGAAAGGCCUUCUUGUGAAUAGUGAGAAGGAU